UUCACAUGCCCACAUGGAGAGCAGAUAGAAGAACAUUGUGUUCUGUUCUGAAUCAUUUGGUGCAUGGCUCCAGAGCCAGUGUCUUCAGGAGCAAGCCCUGUACACCCACAGCCCUGUUUCUGAAGCCAAGAAUGAAAAAUGGGAAAGAAAGGAUGCCUUCUAUAAAACCUAAGGAUGCUGCACCUCCCUGUUUGUGGACCAAGACAUUCAAGAGCAAAAAUAUUGCAUAGAAGAUGUGGGCACCUAUAGCUCAGGAAGGAAUGAGUUUGCAUUCUACAGUGUAUUUAAAUGAAAAUAUGAUUAAAAAAAAUGUAUUUGUCCGUAAGUGAACUGCCACACUAGGAAAUGUUAUAUCUGAGUAUUGGUCAUUGCCAUGCUAGCAGAGGUAUCUUGCCAUGUACAUGCACAAACCAGGUUUUAAAAGUAGCUACCUCAAAUUAGUGUGACUCUAUUUUAUUCUCAACAAUGGAUAAAAAUCUCUCAUAAUAGAGAACCACAGACAAGUUCUAAUGCAGUUCCUUUAGUGCAACAGAACAGUGUGAAUGACUGCUCAGCAACUUGGGACCUUCAGUUAAUACCUUAGAUUAAAUAUUCAAACACUACAGAAUUAUUUUGAAAGCUUUGCAAUGCUGAGUUUAAUUAUACUUAAAAUUCCACAGAUAUAAAAGAGAAAACUUUGAUACAAAAUAAGAAUAAGAAUAAGAAUAAUAUAAUGAAAUAUCUAAGGAUAAUAAAAAUGCAAUGAGACACAGAAAACUGCAGCUCUUUUGUAUUCUGAAAAAUAGUUUUAGCAUUGAAAAAUAAAAUUGUGCUGGUAUAUUAGAACAUUUGAGAGGUGAAACCCCAUUAAAAAAAAAAUUCAUUCACUGGCUUUAGAUGCUGCAUUUGUCUUAAACAUUUAUAUUUUUUCUGCAAGAGUUAUUUUCAUAAACUAUAUUUUU
Molecule: long non-coding RNA, 941 nt
Organism: Haemorhous mexicanus (house finch)
Lineage: Eukaryota; Metazoa; Chordata; Aves; Passeriformes; Fringillidae
Exons: 3
Source: RefSeq, a predicted model, not a curated record